Molecule: ribosomal RNA, 242 nt
Filed under: uncultured bacterium
Lineage: Bacteria
Description: partial 16S ribosomal RNA
Rfam family: Bacterial small subunit ribosomal RNA
Source: RNAcentral
CAAGCGUUGUCCGGAAUCAUUGGGCGUAAAGCGCGUGUAGGCGGCCAGAAAAGUCCGCUGUGAAAACUCGAGGCUCAACUUCGAGCUGUCGGUGGAAACUUUCUGGCUAGAGUCCGGAAGAGGAGAAUGGAAUUCCUGGUGUAGCGGUGAAAUGCGCAGAUAUCAGGAAGAACACCCGUGGCGAAGGCGGUUCACUGGUCCGGUACUGACGCUGAGGUGCGAAAGCGUGGGGAGCAAACAGG